RNAcentral lists this ribosomal RNA (430 nucleotides) under uncultured bacterium. RNAcentral's name for it is "bacterial SSU rRNA". It matches the Rfam family "Bacterial small subunit ribosomal RNA", at positions 355 to 776 of the family's 1533-position model. The record is from RNAcentral.
UGGGGAAUUGUUCGCAAUGGGCGAAAGCCUGACGACGCAACGCCGCGUGGAGGAUGAAGACCUUCGGGUCGUAAACUCCUUUCGACCGAGAAGAAUGGCUCUCGACCUAAUACGUCGAGAGCAUGACGGUAUCGAGGGAAGAAGCCCCGGCUAACUCUGUGCCAGCAGCCGCGGUAAUACAGGGGGGGCAAGCGUUGUUCGGAAUUACUGGGCGUAAAGGGUUCGUAGGUGGCCAACUAAGUCAGACGUGAAAUCCCUCAGCUUAACUGGGGAACUGCGUCUGAUACUGGAUGGCUUGAGUGCAGGAGAGGAACGCGGAAUUCCAGGUGUAGCGGUGAAAUGCGUAGAUAUCUGGAGGAACACCGGUGGCGAAGGCGGCGUUCUGGACUGCAACUGACACUGAGGAACGAAAGCCAGGGGAGCAAACGGG